GACGAACGCUGGCGGCGUGCCUAAUACAUGCAAGUAGAACGCUGAAGAGAGGAGCUUGCUCUUCUUGGAUGAGUUGCGAACGGGUGAGUAACGCGUAGGUAACCUGCCUUGUAGCGGGGGAUAACUAUUGGAAACGAUAGCUAAUACCGCAUAACAAUGGAUGACACAUGUCAUUUAUUUGAAAGGGGCAAUUGCUCCACUACAAGAUGGACCUGCGUUGUAUUAGCUAGUAGGUGAGGUAACGGCUCACCUAGGCGACGAUACAUAGCCGACCUGAGAGGGUGAUCGGCCACACUGGGACUGAGACACGGCCCAGACUCCUACGGGAGGCAGCAGUAGGGAAUCUUCGGCAAUGGGGGCAACCCUGACCGAGCAACGCCGCGUGAGUGAAGAAGGUUUUCGGAUCGUAAAGCUCUGUUGUAAGUCAAGAACGAGUGUGAGAGUGGAAAGUUCACACUGUGACGGUAGCUUACCAGAAAGGGACGGCUAACUACGUGCCAGCAGCCGCGGUAAUACGUAGGUCCCGAGCGUUGUCCGGAUUUAUUGGGCGUAAAGCGAGCGCAGGCGGUUUGAUAAGUCUGAAGUUAAGGCUGUGGCUCAACCAUAGUUCGCUUUGGAAACUGUCAAACUUGAGUGCAGAAGGGGAGAGUGGAAUUCCAUGUGUAGCGGUGAAAUGCGUAGAUAUAUGGAGGAACACCGGUGGCGAAAGCGGCUCUCCGGUCUGUAACUGACGCUGAGGCUCGAAAGCGUGGGGAGCGAACAGGAUUAGAUACCCUGGUAGUCCACGCCGUAAACGAUGAGUGCUAGGUGUUGGAUCCUUUCCGGGAUUCAGCGCCGCAGCUAACGCAUUAAGCACUCCGCCUGGGGAGUACGACCGCAAGGUUGAAACUCAAAGGAAUUGACGGGGGCCCGCACAAGCGGUGGAGCAUGUGGUUUAAUUCGAAGCAACGCGAAGAACCUUACCAGGUCUUGACAUCCCGAUGCUAUUUCUAGAGAUAGAAAGUUACUUCGGUACAUCGGUGACAGGUGGUGCAUGGUUGUCGUCAGCUCGUGUCGUGAGAUGUUGGGUUAAGUCCCGCAACGAGCGCAACCCCUAUUGUUAGUUGCCAUCAUUCAGUUGGGCACUCUAGCGAGACUGCCGGUAAUAAACCGGAGGAAGGUGGGGAUGACGUCAAAUCAUCAUGCCCCUUAUGACCUGGGCUACACACGUGCUACAAUGGUUGGUACAACGAGUUGCGAGUCGGUGACGGCAAGCUAAUCUCUUAAAGCCAAUCUCAGUUCGGAUUGUAGGCUGCAACUCGCCUACAUGAAGUCGGAAUCGCUAGUAAUCGCGGAUCAGCACGCCGCGGUGAAUACGUUCCCGGGCCU
Molecule: ribosomal RNA, 1368 nt
Filed under: uncultured bacterium
Lineage: Bacteria
Description: bacterial SSU rRNA
Rfam family: Bacterial small subunit ribosomal RNA
Source: RNAcentral